RNAcentral lists this long non-coding RNA (3402 nucleotides) under Acanthaster planci (crown-of-thorns starfish). Its description in RNAcentral is "uncharacterized LOC110985672". The record is from RNAcentral. Lineage: Eukaryota; Metazoa; Echinodermata; Asteroidea; Valvatida; Acanthasteridae.
CCCAAAAAAAAAUGUGGGGGGAUAUAUACCCUCAUCCUCCCGGGAUUUACUCCUAUGGCAUAACAUUCAUAUUCAUAACUUGUUUUAUGCAGUUAACCACGAGAAGNCACCAUUGUGGGUUGGAAGGCACACAGUAUCGAUGGUACUGCAGUCCUUGUUCCAUAGAGAGAAACAAUGCUACAUGGACCGAGCGGGGGAAUUGUAAAAAGAACCCAAUGUCUCUAAAUCCGAUCUGCAUACCUGAACCGGGCAUCACCACUCUACCGCCCUCCACCCAUGCGCCCGUUUCUCGCACCGUCUUCCCACCCUUGGACCGCUUGUGCAUCCCCGGUUCUGCAGGCACGUACUCCAACUGCAGCUGUCCAGAAGGCAAGAAACCCCCAAUAAUUCCAUCCGCUCUGCCAGACAUCGUUGCUCAGCAUUGUGACCAGUCUCGGGGUAUCCCCAGAGAACAGCAAAGACCUAAUUAGAAUACAGCAACCAGUCACUCAUUACUGUAUUUCAAAGACAAAUGGAUAUGGUCAGCUGUGAAUAGCAAAUGACAUCCUCAAUAGUUUGAAUAUUUUCUUAUUCGUUUUAGAUAACUUUCAAUCAAUACGCAAUUUCAUUAUUAUACCAGAUUUCUGUUAACAGUGAUGUUUUAUAUAUUUGUAAAAUGCACUUAAGAAAUAAAUUACCAAAGAGAAAUAUGAUACAAAUAUACUAAAUAAUAGAAAGCUACACAUUUACUGAAUAAUGUUACACGUGCCAUGAACAGUGAAAUGCGUUGUGGCAUCUCUCACACGCACGCGUUUGUGUGUACAGUCAUCCUACUGUAAGUCCCGGUGCUCAUCACUCUUCUACAGCGGAUGGUUACAACAGAGCUGAUUUUUUUUAUUCUUAUUUAUUAUUUGUUUUUUUUGCGGUGCCAAAUAUUUUGGACGUGUCCUCGAAAGUUGCGGUGGAACGUUCUGUACAUGUUGUUGGUAACAAUUCGUGAGAGUAGAACGCCCUGCGUCUGGGCUUAAAAGCCGGGAAGGACUUCCGCCAGCCCCCUCCCCAACCCAUUGCCCUUGCGGGUAUAGGAUGACCUGAUUUAACCGUGCUGCUUGACGUAUUUUUGUUUUCGAAUCCUCGUUGCAUAGAAGUGGUCUUACUUCUCAACAAUAACUUAGUGCGGUACGGUACGCUUCUGCUUGCGCCAUGAGACAGUGGGCACAGAAUGCACUGUGCUAAUGUUGUAAAGUUACCCACAAAGCCUCUACUUCCGUGACAAAAUUGUUGUAGGGGCAUUGCCCAUCCCAGUGCCUUUAAAGAGCGGUACGGUUGAGCCGAGCCAAGUUUCUGCAUUCAGUGUAGUUCACGUCACAUGCACCUGUCAUAGAGCGAUGUCUAUACAUAGAAUUUGCAAAAAGGCACGACAACGCAGAGCGGGGCAUUGCUUCAUGUUCGGAAACAAACGGAUGUGAGUCAGUAGGUAUAACAUCCCAGGAAAAUUUAAUACAACUGAAGAAUUGAAGUCAGGAUACAGGUCGUGUGGUCCCACAAAAAAUUGUCGUAACUCUUACUUGUGUCUAAAUACUUCGUGAGAUGGGCUGUGAGUAUUUUAUGUGGAGAUUUCAUUCAAAGACAGACUGUCUUCCGCUAAAGGUAGGGUAUUAUGUAAUUUUUGGAAAUAUUCGUGUCGAGAAUAGAGAUGCACUAGAUGGGUGUUUUCCUCUUUUUCAAAAUGGUUGAAAACUGCAUGAGUCAAAUUGAAGUGGGUACUGUGACAGACAACGAAUGGUACUAGAACAGUUGAUUCAGAAUUUCCGGAAUUCGGGAAGACGCUAUUAUGAUUGUGACGUGCAUCCACACUGAAGGCAGUUUGAUUGUCGCUUGUCACUCGAGUAGCAGAAAUAAGCUGUCCUUAGUGAGGUCCACUGGCGUAAAUUUGCACCGGGAAAUUUGCGGAGUGGGAGAAAAUUGCUUGGCUGUGGCAUUUAAAGACAAAAGAGACAAUGUGUAUCUUUAAUAUUUACCUGUAUUAAACCUCUGCUGAAUCUUACCUCAAAAUGGCGCAUAUGUGGCUUUAAAAAUUUUGUCUCCAUUUUUAGUGCUUUUUCAUAUAUUUUACUACAACUUUCCAAUUCGCCUUAAUUGUUUCUCACUGAGAAAGGGAGGGGGUUGAUCCAAUAGCCCCCCCAAAAAAGGGUGUUUGGGUGCAUACCCCCACCCCCGGGGGGAUUUAGCCCAUUUGUGAGGUCAUUCGGUACAAGAUCCCUGUCAAUGAGGUCUUAGAGUGUGGUCGUUAUUUAAAGCUACCAGAGAAAAGGAGAACCUAUGUGUGGUCAUAUACAGGAAAUUUUGUUCCAAGGUUUUUAAUAGGAAAAUAUAUGGAAUGUUGUAUUCAUAUGGAGAAGGAAUCCUCUUGCCAGUAUGGAUCCAAGGGGUGCAUGGCAAGUUUUCGGCUGGAGAAUUCAGGAUUAAUAACCCCCUGGCGCAUGUUACGCAUGGGCAUAAAUACCGGGGGUGGGGGAUAUAUUCCCCUCCCCCACACACCCACCCACACACACUUUUUGAGGUGCAGGUGAUGGGCUAAUGAAUCAUCCCCCUUUUUGUGAUAAGCAAAAAAAAAAAAAAAACCGGACUGUGAAGAAUUUGUAAGAUUACCCAAAGGCUACAAUGUUUGCAAUAUCACUAAAAAGGCAAAACAAUCUUAAAAGCCAUAAAUAUUCCAUUCUCAUGUAAGAUAAUAUUGUGCAUGAAUUUGAAAAACAUUACGGAUGUACAUUGUACAUCUUUAUCGUAAAAACGCCCCCUGUAUAGUGAAUAUAGUGUAGCGCCCUCCCCCUUCCGCUUUUCAAAUUUCCAUGGCCAGGCAAGUCACCUUUCCCCAUCCCCCACCCCACCCCCAACUUCCAGCACAGACUUUAAUACGCCACUGUUGUACAUGUAGUUGGUUCUCAUAGCGGACUCCAAAUACUCAUUCCAGUAAAUGUAAAUGAGUUCCUCAUAAAAACUACUCAAAAGGAGUCAAUUUCUACUCUUUCGAGGAGCCAUGUAGUAUGACAACUUGAAUUUUGUUUUUCGUUUUUAUGGCUCGUCUUUGGUAGUGGUUUUAUAAGGAGAGUGAGUUUUCCACUUUUACACUUAGCCUGUUAAAAUACCAAGUACUGUCCGAAGUUUUCGGGGCUGCGUUUCAGUAGGAAAUUUAGCUGUUGUAUUGCUCGGCAUGACAUGUAAAAGAACUUCCAACCAGCACAUUGCUUUUGCGAAGGUAAUUUUUUAGUUUGUCCAUUAAGGUAAUUCAUAGGACAAUAGAACAGUUUUUGUAAAUAAAUUAAGCAUUUAAUGUGCUAACUUUUGUCAUGUUUUGAGAGAGACCGAAGAUAACUGAUGAAGGAUUUAUACAGAUAUUAAAAGAAAAUUCAUUGCAAAUUU